UGAUGUCUGUAGGUAUUUUCGUCCUCGCUAGUCACACAAUUCCUUAGGUUUGGUCAAUAUACUUAUCCUUUGAUUUCUCCAAUAUGUUCCUUCCUGAUUUUGUUUGAUGAUUUGCUAGGUUAUGGGAUUGGAUCUCCAUUUUCAGGAUUCUUAGCUAAUAAGUAUAUUUUGCGGAAAAAUCUCUGUUGAGUUAUGUUGUGCACAUCCAAAUCCAAGCAAUGUAAGUGACCUAGAAUUUCACUGGUGUUAUGGUACACCUUAUACAAUUUCUAAAUUCCAAUACCGUUCCUGUGUAGCUGGAUACUCCAUGGGGCAAAGUUGAAGCUUUGUACAUCACUUCUCUACCUGUUUAUUAAUGUUUCUUCAUGUUUGGCAGUGAUCUGGGUUUCCAUGUACUUGAUAGAUGCAUUCCUUAUGUGUUCCAUCUAUGCAUCUAUGUUUCUGCCCAUAAAUGUACUUAUGAGCUGGCUCCAUUUUUUACGGCUUUCCCGUGGCAAUUUGAAAAGUACCCUUUAUUCCCGUACAAAGGGCUAUACAUGCAUUUAAAGAAGUGCACAUUUUCUAUAAACAUAAGCAUUGUCUUACCCCCACUGCUCUCUGGCGUGCAGCGAAGAUUUCAUCCUCAACCUCCCUCACGGCCCCAGAUUCGGCUACUUUCCAGUUUUGUUAGUUUUCUUCUUGGUAGCACUGAACACCAUGGAAACAUGGGCGUAGUGGCCACCCACAUGCAUUUGUCGUCCUCCUUAAAAUUCAAUUAGAUUAUAUACAAAUAUGCAGCCAUGUUUACUUAAGAUCCAAUUAGAUAAAUGUUGUUUAUUUUUCCUACGGAUAGGGCCAGUGCGUAAAUUAUAUUUGGCAAGUCUGUUUAUUUGCUAAGUUUCCUUUAGAGGAUAUCAGAAGCCUGGGCUAUAUGAUCCUUAUUCCACAACUUCAACAUAAGAACUGUUAGGUGGAACAUUUUGGGUUUUAUGAAUAUUGACUUGUCAAUGCCGAACACUGUAGGAAAUUAAUAAGAGCAGUUCAAUGCGUGAAUGGAACAAAAACAUUGUAAUUUCGAAAUGCACAGAAUGAUAUUAAUAAUAUCUAGCAUCUCCGAUAUAGCACUAGCAAUCUAGCAUACAAUCAGACUACAAAAUAGCACAAUUUCUAGAUAUUUCUACUAGUUGUACUUUUUUCAGAAUUCCCGAUCUUUUAACUUUAAAUACAUUAUAUUUCUAUUAGACUUCCUUUUAUUUUCAAUUUGCAUAUAGCUUCUCUAGCAUGACACUUUGGAGCUACUGAGCUAUCAGGAUAAAGAUAAAAAGUAUGGCAUGUCAACCAAUAUAGACAAAACAACUUUGGACAUAAAGUAUACUUGAGACCAAAAUUAAGCUAAAAUAACAUCACAUAUUCACAUCUUGCUUUUUUUCAAAAACCCAAUUCCCCUCUAUAUAUUAAUUGCUUGGUACAUCAUAUAGCUUGGAAAAAACAUGGCUAUCUAUCUUUGUUUGUUCAUUUGCUUUGUUUCACAAUUUCAUACCCCAAACAUGAAGUGAUUCAAAGAAUUGCAUAUUAUACAUAGGCCGUUUAUAAGUCAUUUUCCUUCAAACUGCAGCAAAGUUAUGUAUGUUCCAUUGACCAUUCCUACUUAUCAAGAACAUAAGUUGAUAGUGUUGACUGUAGAAAACUCAUAGGAGGAACAUGAGCCACUUAAAAAAAUCAGCAAAGCUUUAGACCUAGUUGGGAGCCCUUAUUAUCCAUUUUCACUAUGACAGGCUUUUCAUCUUGGACUGGCUGCUUGACUGGAACACUAGGGCUCGCUGCUUCAUCAAUUUCAUCCACAGAACGUUCGCUUAGGAUAUCAUCCUUAUUACUAUCUACAUUAGAUGCAGACACCCCGAGGAUCGACCUCUGGAAGUUACUGAGCUUCUCGACAUGAUCGGGGUGGAUGGUCAAUGGAAGCGAUAUGAAAUGCAAGCAAUCUAGCAUGUUGGAUGGGUGAUAAUGGAAAUUUUCUUGAGGACAAACCCGUGCAUAAGUUUUGUGAUAAACCUGUUUUAUGAGAGUUAAAGCUGUUUUUGAGAGUUAAACCCAUGCAUAUGAAUGUAUUUUUUGUAGAACUGGUCGAAAUAUUUUUUGUGAGAGUUAAAGCUAUUUUCUGGGGGGAUAAACCCGUGAAUAAGUUUCUCAUAUGUAUAGACUAAUUAAUAGGAUGGCAAUUUAAGUUAAUUGGAGCUCUUUUUAAGAAGCGGUGGUCUGCUUUGGUUUCUUGUUGUUUGCCUAUUCUCUUAAAAACACUUGACUGACUGCAUAUAUACAUCAAUAAUAUGGGCAGUUGACUAUGGCGUUUUUAAGUGAAGAGUUUCAAAAAUCUAAUAUGACAAUGCCUAUUUUUCAUUGAAAAACAAAUAGUACCUUAUUUACUAUUUAGUUUUCAAGCUAGAAUAAUUUGACUACAUGCUUCCUGAGGUGCCUUCUGUUUUUGAAUAGUCAUAGAAUGCUCCUGAUUACGAGAUGUUCCUUUGUCACUAUUUGAAGUUCUGCCUAGGGUGGCCUCUGUCUUGGUUUACAGCUUCAUAUGACUACCUAUUUAUAACAUCUGUAGGUUCUGUUUGAACCGUCUCAAAUCACAUAGAGAUGUUAAAUUUUCAAUAUGUUGCCUUACGGCCGUGUGCCAUCACCAUGUUUACUCCAGAAAAGUGGAAUGUGUAGAGUUUCUGUGUUGAUUAGUCAAAUAUUUUCUUUACCUUAAAGAUUGUCCCCAUCUAUGUUCCAGGUUGUGGCUCCGCUGCAGCCUGCAGAUAUGCCCAUUGCCAUUAAGCAUUUCUAUCUAUAUGCUUCUACAGAGUAUUUGCCUUAUGUACUAUAUGUUGAUGAAAUAAUUUCCUUAUAAGCUGGGAUAAGGCGUUUGUAGUUGGUAUUUGUACUAUAAGCUUGAUUUUUUGGUUCAUCUCAUCUCUGGUUAUUUUUUCGGUUUUUGUGUUUCUGCAACAUAUUAUCAUUAGCAUAUAAAAUGUCUUAUGUUUCUUGUUUUCAACAAUUAUUCUUUGGCAGGGAAGACCAUGAUAACACUAAGAUUAUCAAGAAAGGAUUCAGAGCUUUUUCUUAAUCCAAAUUACCACACAUGAUGCAAAAUUAACAACCACAACUUUGAAAUAUGGAUGAUGGUGCUUAUUAUGUGCUAGAAAUCAAAUAUGAAAAGGAGAAGAUAAUGUUUGCGAAGGUGUGUAUACUGAACAAGCAUCCUGAUUGAUGUGUUUCACUGUUGUUCCUUGAUGUGCCCUCAUGCAGCUGUGUCCAUAUAUACUGAUUGUUAUACUUAUUGGUGUGCGAGUUGCAGGAGAGGGGAGAGACAUACGGGUUGAUUCUGGGUAAACUUUGCUUAAUUCAUUGGAGAAAAUGCUCGAUAGAUCUCAUGGAUGGAUGAGGUUGUGGCAGUUGUUCUCGGGUGCAAUAUCUAUCUUGAUCGAUGAGGGCACAUUAGAAGCAGAAGAAGAGGAAACAUUUGGGGCGUCUAUGGCAUUGAACAUUCAGUGUUUCUGUAUUGUGUACAUGCAUAGCCAAUUCAGUAAUUAGAUGGCCUUUUCAACUGUACUGGUGCUGCUACUUUUCACAUGCUAGCUUCUUUGAAAAGCGCCAACAGUGUGUACAAAAUGUAAAGAGUCCAUGUUGAAAGAACAGAAGUAGAAGCGGAGUUGAUGUAUUAAAGGUCAGUCAGGGAAUUCAGUCUCGAUUAGCUUAACUAAUGAUGUGUGAGUUGAGACUCACGUCAUUUUCAAAGUAACGGAAGUACAAGAGAUUACUUGAAAAUACACAUUUUUAAUGCGACAUGGUCUUCAGUGCAAUUUUAUACUGCCAAAUUAAAAUGUGG
RNAcentral lists this long non-coding RNA (3850 nucleotides) under Triticum aestivum (bread wheat). RNAcentral's name for it is "long non-coding RNA (TAES_LNC003471)". Lineage: Eukaryota; Viridiplantae; Streptophyta; Magnoliopsida; Poales; Poaceae. The record is from RNAcentral.